RNAcentral lists this ribosomal RNA (792 nucleotides) under Triticum aestivum (bread wheat). RNAcentral's name for it is "partial small subunit ribosomal RNA". Lineage: Eukaryota; Viridiplantae; Streptophyta; Magnoliopsida; Poales; Poaceae. The record is from RNAcentral.
AUGUUGCCUCGUUCCCUUUCUGAACAAAUAUUAAGUAAGGUUAAUCAUGGCUGGUAUGUCGAUACUCUCAAACUAUUUGCGAUUCAGGCUAUACAAUUUGCAGCAGAGAUUCAUUAUCAACUAUCUAGAGCCAAUGGUUGUCUGACGAGUGAACUUCCAAUACGGCAUGUGUCAUAUGAGCUUCUACUAUUCCUGACCUGUCCGCUGGACAUUUCCAACACGCAGCUUGAUGCCUACAACAGCAUGUGCUUCCUGUUUUGGCUUUGUUCAGUUUCUCAACUCACCUAUAACAUUUGUAUGAUGAAAUCUGACUUGGGCCUGUACCAGCGGAGCUAUUCUUGGGAUCCUAGAGGACUGGCAUUGCGGUUGUCAAUGGAAUUGGCUCACCGAGUGGUCUUCUCAGGAGCGGUGUGUGUCAUCAUCUUGGUGGUCCACUACCUCAUCCACGCCAGCAAUAUUUCACUUCAUCAACUGCCUGGAUUCCAAUCGACUCAAGGUACAACAAGUUUCACGAGAUCAUGGUGGUGUGAGUCUUUCAAGUCUUAUACAAUAACGUUGGCCGUGAGGGACCUAGUGCCUCCUACCUCCUACAAUCAAGGGCAUUUUCAAGAAGGGAGGGGUACCAUCACCAUUGCUGUCGUCUUCGCGCAAGGCUUUGUCGACCAUGAGUACUACUUUCUCAGCUUCGACCACGAUUGUGCUGAAAAUGACUACUUCUUGGACACCUUCUUCAGCGGGGCUCCCAUCGACCGCAACUGUUGUUCCUACUUUGUUGUAACACCCCGGAUGUAA